GACGAACGCUGGCGGCGUGCUUAACACAUGCAAGUCGAACGGAAAGGCCCUGCUUUUGUGGGGUGCUCGAGUGGCGAACGGGUGAGUAACACGUGAGUAACCUGCCCUUGACUUUGGGAUAACUUCAGGAAACUGGGGCUAAUACCGGAUAGGAGCUCCUGGUGCAUGGUGGGGGUUGGAAAGUUUCGGCGGUUGGGGAUGGACUCGCGGCUUAUCAGCUUGUUGGUGGGGUAGUGGCUUACCAAGGCUUUGACGGGUAGCCGGCCUGAGAGGGUGACCGGCCACAUUGGGACUGAGAUACGGCCCAGACUCCUACGGGAGGCAGCAGUGGGGAAUAUUGCACAAUGGGCGGAAGCCUGAUGCAGCAACGCCGCGUGCGGGAUGACGGCCUUCGGGUUGUAAACCGCUUUCGCCUGUGACGAAGCGUGAGUGACGGUAAUGGGUAAAGAAGCACCGGCUAACUACGUG
Molecule: ribosomal RNA, 468 nt
Filed under: uncultured bacterium
Lineage: Bacteria
Description: partial 16S ribosomal RNA
Rfam family: Bacterial small subunit ribosomal RNA
Source: RNAcentral